CGGCAGCACUGUGCAGGAUAGUUCUAUGUGGCACGGCGGAUAGGAAACAUAUAGAAAAAAAGGGUUUGUAAGGCCACAUGUGGGAAGGCCGUCUGAAGUUUCAGGUAAACAAAAAUCUAAACGCCAAACAAUUUAAGAGAACACAAUCAUAUUUACAUCAAGAUCCAUUAGGUUUGCCAUUGAGUCCGAUAAGAAUGUUUAGAUCCAAAUUAUGAAUAUCGUCAUGAAGCAAGAACA
Long non-coding RNA from Hyla sarda, 237 nucleotides. RefSeq lists it as uncharacterized. The transcript is spliced from 3 exons. The record is from RefSeq and is a predicted model, not a curated record. NCBI's taxonomy places the organism in Eukaryota, Metazoa, Chordata, Amphibia, Anura, Hylidae.